This is a long non-coding RNA of Artibeus jamaicensis (Jamaican fruit-eating bat), 850 nucleotides long. RefSeq lists it as uncharacterized. The record is from RefSeq and is a predicted model, not a curated record. NCBI's taxonomy places the organism in Eukaryota, Metazoa, Chordata, Mammalia, Chiroptera, Phyllostomidae. The transcript is spliced from 6 exons.
UCAAGCCUGCUGCCACAGCUUUUUAACAGAGCUAUGAAGCUAGCCGAGUUACCAUAGUUAUGCAAAAUCUGCCAGUUGCUGUGCCGCUUCUCCCAUCCCCCAAAGCAGGUGGUGUCUCUGAGGCCUCCAGAGGAUGCAGCCGCCUGCUGGAUGGGUUUCCCAGGUGUGGUUUGGAGCAGGGAGGACGUCACUGUUCUCAAUGGGCACCUGUCACCAUUGAUUAGAAAAAUGAGCUCUCAGGAAAAUGUCAUUCUCUAAAGGGCUGUAGACCUUUAAGAAGAGGAAUGCACAUUUCUGCAAAAGAAGGAGGUUGUGAAUGACAAACAGCUUGGGAAGAAUGAGCACAUAGUCAUGCCCAGACUCACACAUGCCCACAUCAGUCUUCUGGAAGUUUCCCCAAACUGGUAUUGCUCUUGGACACUAACAGGACCUCAGAUUCCCUGUAACGCUGCUGACUUCUUGGUAGACUGUCUAUUGUGCAGAAGGUACAGCGCCAACCAUUCCUGAGAUGCCAGAUAUAAGUGAGAAAGGGCAAAGCCCAGAAACAGACACCAUCCCUAUGGCUGCCACUGUUUCCCUUUCAGGAAUGGCAGAACACAAACAGCUGGCAUUUCCAGGAGACUGUGCUGGGAAAGUUCUGGAAAGGACAGUAGCAGUAUGAAGGUAAGGGAUGCAUCCAACAGCUUCGACCUCCCAGAGGAGAGAGGAGGCUGCCAGUGCCUUUCAGCAGCUCCCAGGAUGAUACUGCCGGACUUGCACAUUCGGCCCCAGGGAGGAGGCCCCCAGGGGGAGUAUGCAUGGCAGGAGGAAGGGUCCUUAAAGGAGACAGGGGGCCGCAUCUCACAUACCU